CUACGGGUCGCAGCAGUGAGGAAUAUUGCACAAUGGGGGGAACCCUGAUGCAGCAACGCCGCGUGGAGGAUGACGCAUUUCGGUGUGUAAACUCCUUUUAUAUGUCAAGAAAAUGACGGUAGCAUAUGAAUAAGCGCCGGCUAACUCCGUGCCAGCAGCCGCGGUAAUACGGAGGGCGCAAGCGUUACUCGGAAUCACUGGGCGUAAAGGACGCGUAGGCGGGUUGAAAAGUCAGGUGUGAAAGCCUACAGCUUAACUGUAGAACUGCACUUGAAACUUCUAAUCUAGAGUAUGGGAGGGGGAGAUGGAAUUAGUGGUGUAGGGGUAAAAUCCGUAGAUAUCACUAGGAAUACCUAAAGCGAAGGCGAUCUCCUGGAACAUUACUGACGCUAAGGCGGGAAAGCGUGGGGAGCAAACAGGAUUAGAUACCCCAGUAGUC
RNAcentral lists this ribosomal RNA (439 nucleotides) under uncultured bacterium. RNAcentral describes it as "partial 16S ribosomal RNA". It matches the Rfam family "Bacterial small subunit ribosomal RNA", at positions 339 to 795 of the family's 1533-position model. The record is from RNAcentral.